GUUUCCGGUAGUGUAGUGGUUAUCACGCUUGCCUAACACGCGAAAAGGUCCCCUGUUCGAAACAGGGCGGAAACA
This 75-nucleotide transfer RNA is filed under the name Perca fluviatilis (European perch). Its description in RNAcentral is "tRNA-Val". It matches the Rfam family "tRNA". From Rfam's summary of the family: Transfer RNA (tRNA) molecules are approximately 80 nucleotides in length. Lineage: Eukaryota; Metazoa; Chordata; Actinopteri; Perciformes; Percidae. The record is from RNAcentral.